ACGACUCUCGGCAACGGAUAUCUCGGCUCUCGCAUCGAUGAAGAACGUAGCGAAAUGCGAUACCUGGUGUGAAUUGCAGAAUCCCGCGAACCAUCGAGUCUUUGAACGCAAGUUGCGCCCGAGGCCACUCGGCCGAGGGCACGCCUGCCUGGGUGUCACGC
This 161-nucleotide ribosomal RNA is filed under the name Hordeum patagonicum subsp. santacrucense. Its description in RNAcentral is "5.8S ribosomal RNA". It matches the Rfam family "5.8S ribosomal RNA". From Rfam's summary of the family: 5.8S ribosomal RNA (5.8S rRNA) is a component of the large subunit of the eukaryotic ribosome. It is transcribed by RNA polymerase I as part of the 45S precursor that also contains 18S and 28S rRNA. The record is from RNAcentral. Lineage: Eukaryota; Viridiplantae; Streptophyta; Magnoliopsida; Poales; Poaceae.